GAAAUGCGAUAAUUAAUGUGAAUUGCAGAAUUCAGUGAAUCAUCGAGUCUUUGAACGCACAUUGCGCCCCCUGGUAUUCCGGGGGGCAUGCCUGUCCGAGCGUCAUUGCUGCCCUCAAGCACGGCUUGUGUGUUGGGCUUCCGUCCCUGGCAACGGGGACGGGCCCAAAAGGCAGUGGCGGCACCAUGUCUGGUCCUCGAGCGUAUGGGGCUUUGUCACCCGCUCCCGUAGGUCCAGCUGGCAGCUAGCCUCGCAACCAAUCUUUUUAACCAGGUUGACCUCGGAUCAGGUCGGGAUACCCGCUGAACUUAAGC
This 314-nucleotide unclassified non-coding RNA is filed under the name plant metagenome. Its description in RNAcentral is "partial contains 5.8S ribosomal RNA, internal transcribed spacer 2, and large subunit ribosomal RNA". The stretch from base 1 to 105 matches the Rfam family "5.8S ribosomal RNA", at positions 50 to 154 of the family's 154-position model. The record is from RNAcentral.